GUAUAGACCCGAAACCCGGUGAUCUAGCCAUGGGCAGGUUGAAGGUUGGGUAACACUAACUGGAGGACCGAACCGACUAAUGUUGAAAAAUUAGCGGAUGACUUGUGGCUGGGGGUGAAAGGCCAAUCAAACCGGGAGAUAGCUGGUUCUCCCCGAAAGCUAUUUAGGUAGCGCCUCGUGAACUCAUCUUCGGGGGUAGAGCACUGUUUCGGCUAGGGGGUCAUCCCGACUUACCAACCCGAUGCAAACUGCGAAUACCGAAGAAUGUUAUCACGGGAGACACACGGCGGGUGCUAACGUCCGUCGUGAAGAGGGAAACAACCCAGACCGCCAGCUAAGGUCCCAAAGUCAUGGUUAAGUGGGAAACGAUGUGGGAAGGCACAGACAGCCAGGAUGUUGGCUUAGAAGCAGCCAUCAUUUAAAGAAAGCGUAAUAGCUCACUGGUCGAGUCGGCCUGCGCGGAAGAUGUAACGGGGCUAAACCAUGCACCGAAGCUGCGGCAGCGACACUAUGUGUUGUUGGGUAGGGGAGCGUUCUGUAAGCCGUUGAAGGUGUACUGUGAGGUAUGCUGGAGGUAUCAGAAGUGCGAAUGCUGACAUAAGUAACGAUAAUGCGGGUGAAAAACCCGCACGCCGGAAGACCAAGGGUUCCUGUCCAACGUUAAUCGGGGCAGGGUGAGUCGACCCCUAAGGCGAGGCCGAAAGGCGUAGUCGAUGGGAAACAGGUUAAUAUUCCUGUACUUGGUGUUACUGCGAAGGGGGGACGGAGAAGGCUAUGUUAGCCGGGCGACGGUUGUCCCGGUUUAAGCAUGUAGGCGGAGGUUCCAGGUAAAUCCGGUACCUUUUUAACGCUGAGGUGUGAUGACGAGGCACUACGGUGCUGAAGUAACAAAUGCCCUGCUUCCAGGAAAAGCCUCUAAGCAUCAGGUAACACGAAAUCGUACCCCAAACCGACACAGGUGGUCAGGUAGAGAAUACCAAGGCGCUUGAGAGAACUCGGGUGAAGGAACUAGGCAAAAUGGUGCCGUAACUUCGGGAGAAGGCACGCUGAUAUGUAGGUGAAGUGAUUUACUCAUGGAGCUGAAAUCAGUCGAAGAUACCAGCUGGCUGCAACUGUUUAUUAAAAACACAGCACUGUGCAAACACGAAAGUGGACGUAUAGGGUGUGAUGCCUGCCCGGUGCUGGAAGGUUAAUUGAUGGUGUAAUCGAAAGAGAAGCUCCUGAUCGAAGCCCCAGUAAACGGCGGCCGUAACUAUAACGGUCCUAAGGUAGCGAAAUUCCUUGUCGGGUAAGUUCCGACCUGCACGAAUGGCGUAAUGAUGGCCAGGCUGUCUCCACCCGAGACUCAGUGAAAUUGAACUCGCUGUGAAGAUGCAGUGUACCCGCGGCAAGACGGAAAGACCCCGUGAACCUUUACUAUAGCUUGACACUGAACACUGGUCCUUGAUGUGUAGGAUAGGUGGGAGGCUUUGAAGUGUGGACGCCAGUCUGCAUGGAGCCAUCCUUGAAAUACCACCCUUUAAUGGCUGGUGUUCUAACGUGGACCCGUAAUCCGGGUUGCGGACAGUGUCUGGUGGGUAGUUUGACUGGGGCGGUCUCCUCCUAAAGAGUAACGGAGGAGCACGAAGGUUAGCUAAUCCUGGUCGGACAUCAGGAGGUUAGUGCAAAGGCAUAAGCUAGCUUGACUGCGAGAGUGACGGCUCGAGCAGGUGCGAAAGCAGGUCUUAGUGAUCCGGUGGUUCUGAAUGGAAGGGCCAUCGCUCAACGGAUAAAAGGUACUCCGGGGAUAACAGGCUGAUACCGCCCAAGAGUUCAUAUCGACGGCGGUGUUUGGCACCUCGAUGUCGGCUCAUCACAUCCUGGGGCUGAAGUAGGUCCCAAGGGUAUGGCUGUUCGCCAUUUAAAGUGGUACGCGAGCUGGGUUUAGAACGUCGUGAGACAGUUCGGUCCCUAUCUGCCGUGGGCGCUGGAGAAUUGAGGGGGGCUGCUCCUAGUACGAGAGGACCGGAGUGGACGCAUCACUGGUGUUCGGGUUGUCAUGCCAAUGGCAUUGCCCGGUAGCUAAAUGCGGAAGAGAUAAGUGCUGAAAGCAUCUAAGCACGAAACUUGCCCCGAGAUGAGUUCU
RNAcentral lists this ribosomal RNA (2125 nucleotides) under human gut metagenome. RNAcentral describes it as "bacterial LSU rRNA". It matches the Rfam family "Bacterial large subunit ribosomal RNA", at positions 707 to 2812 of the family's 2925-position model. The record is from RNAcentral.